This is a long non-coding RNA of Brassica rapa (field mustard), 6397 nucleotides long. RefSeq lists it as uncharacterized. NCBI's taxonomy places the organism in Eukaryota, Viridiplantae, Streptophyta, Magnoliopsida, Brassicales, Brassicaceae. The record is from RefSeq and is a predicted model, not a curated record.
GUUCAUAAAAUCUAUAACUUAAAGUCCGUACCGAACUCAGACCAAAAAAACAUGAUCCGUACCCAGUCCGAAAUAUAAGAAAUCGCAAAACAGAUCUUGUAGUGUGGUACACCACACAUAUCUGAACCCGAAGUGUUAUUAACCGAACCCAAACGGACAACCCGAAAAACCAAGAACCCAAAAAAUAUAUCAAAAAACCGAUCCGAAAAUCCAAAUAAUCGCAAAUAUAAAUAUUUAAAACGUAAAUAUGUACUUCAAAUAUUCAAUUCUAUAUUUAUUUUUAAAUUUAUAUAAAAAUAAGUAUUUAAAUCUUCAUUAAGUACCUGAAAUAUCCAAUCCUAUAUAAAUAAGUUUAUUUCUUAUAUAUUUCUUUUCAAUUUUGGAUUUAACUUCGAAUAUAUCCAAACCGAACCCAUAUAACUUGAAUCAGAACAAUAUAUGAUUACUUUAUAGAUUUUAGAUGUGAUACAAUUUAAAAGAAAAAUUGAUGUGUUAUAUCCGAACCCGAUUUAUACUUACAAAUUUACUAGAAUGAGACCUAUGAUGUGAUAUAAAUUAGAAACAAAGUUCUAAAUACCCAACCCAUAUCGCAACGGGUACCUAAACGUUCAUGCAUAACUUAAAGUAUAUUUUGUUCAAUUAGUUUUAUAUUUGAUAAAUAUUUAUAUGUGUUGGAAUAACCCAUGAAGCUAUACUCAAAAAAAUAUCAAUACUAACAUGUUCCAGCAUAUCAUUAAAUAUUAAUGAUUAUUACUAUUUAUUUGAUCAUAUAUAUAUAUAUAUAUAUAUUUAAUUUAAUACUUUUAUCUAUAAAAAUUAUAUUAUUAUGUAUUUGGUGAGGGUUUUAAAGAAUUUGUUUCUUUCAUUUGAAUUAAAGUACAUUUGUAUAUAUGGAUAAGUAGGCAUAUAUAAUUAUUUUUAUUAAUAAAUUAAUUAUAAUUGAUCAAUACUAUUAAAACUGAAGAGCAUUUUUGAGGUCACCUUGAAGUUUUGAAGUAUUUACAAUUAUAUGCCACUGGAAUAUUUUUAACCUAUGCUUUCUAAUUAGAAUCAGUAUUUUCGUACUUCUCUUUAUUUUCGUAAUACAUUAAAAGCAAGCGAAUAUACCCUAAAUCCCUAAUAAUACUGAACAACAUCUUACCCAAAAUCCCUAAUAAUACUAAACGACAUCUAUUUAGUUUGAUUUUAUAUCACUUUCAAGUGGGUUGUCGAAGAAUAUAUAGAUGAAGCUUGAUACAAAUGGUUUCAAGACUUCCAUUCCUACGAUUGGCAACAAUAUGCUUGAUGAUUUUUCUAUUCUGUCAUCCACUGAUCUUCCGCGAACAAGAUAUGUGAGUUUUAUUUCUUUGAUGAGAUUCUUUUGUGUUCAUCCGCUAAGCGAGUGUGGGUUGUUGAUUUUAGUUUUUGUUUGGGUUUCAGUUUGAUGAGUUUAGUAAGAAGCUGUACAGAUGGUGAAGCAUGCGGAAGGAACAACCGCACUCGCUUUUUUGUUCUAAGUUGUCAUGGUCACUGCUGAUUCUCAGGAUAGGAGAGGAGGCAAAUCAAUCAAAGAUGAAGGAGAAGAUUGAUGUUAAUAAGAAAGCCAACGACUAGGUAUAUACUUCUUUUCCCGAAUUGAGUUUUUUUUGGAAACCCUAACACUUGAUUUUGCUAAGAUCCCAAUUUCUUUCAUUUUAUGGUUUUGUUCUUGAUUCCAGUCACUGGGUUUCUUCUUGCGUAUUGGGUUCGUUUCUUACUUAUUCCGAUUUCGUUUCAAUUACUUUGUUUUAUUCUCAGUGAACGGUUCUUCACCCAUCUUUAAAGAGCUCAAAUUUUAAGCUUUUUAUGUUUCCGCAAUGUCUUUACAGACAAUAGUUUCUUUGUCUUCCCAAAUUGAUAUGUUGAUGAAUCGUUAGUACUGAAUGGAUACGUUAUUUGACUCAGAUCUUUUAAGGGAAGCCAAUCAUUAACCCUUUUGUCUAUAUUUGUGGGAUUGGGCUCAGUUUAAUCAUAUUUGAGUCUUGAUAACCUCAAAAAGCUUCCAUCACAUUGGUGCUUCUGCCUGUUUAUCUGACCCUGAGGAAAAGACUUCUGUGGAGGGUCCUUUUGCACCUUUUAUUCCCCAUAACUCUCUUUCUCUGCUUAUGUAUUUCCAGCUUAUAAAUAUAAUUGUUCUUGCUUUGAAACUUGGACUUUAUUGUAUGUACAAUUUUUUCUUUUGUUGAUAAACGUAUUGUUAGUUGAUAUGCAAUUUACUAGCACCUGUUCCAUAUUGCGGUGCUUCAGUCUAUGAUCUUUAUCAACAAAGCUGUGAUUAUGCAAUGUCCACACUCGAUGACUUUUCUAACACUUUGGGUACUGAAGAUUUUCAACAACAAAAGGUAUCUCCUUCCGUCAAGUCUACAUUUAUUAUUACUCACUUUCCCCCAAUAUUCUUUUUAUGAUUUGGUCCUUUUGUUUUAUUCUCUGGGUUGUGUUAGCAAGUGGCUAAUUCAUCGCUUAUACAUUGUGGGAGACAAAAUGGGACACAUCAGAGCCAACGUAAUCGUUUUGGCCACUUCCGAAAAGCUUCUCUGCGUUUCCAUCUUCUACAAUGCUAAUGUUGUAUUGGUUCUUGCAAUGAGAUGAUUCAGUAUUCUUUUAUAUAUCACCAUCUAAAAGACUCACUCCUCAUAUUGUUAUAAUUGUUUUGAUAGCCGGUUAUAUGUUUGGUAAACGGAACCCAAUAACUCAUGUAUAUAAUAUGUUCUAAAACUAGGACUGAUUUAUUACCUUCGUAUAAACUUUAUCAUGUUUCAAACGCUGAAUAUCCUGAUCAAAUCAGGUAGUGUUAUAUGUGCUACUAACAGCUGCAGGUUGUUUGAUAGAGAAAACAUAUAUAUGGAAUAAUUGACGUAUAUUUAAUCAUGACAUUAUAUCUAGACUCCACGACAUAUUGAUAUCUAUAUAAUAACAUUUUAACCAAUAGCACUUCUAUGAUAUUGUAUUGAUAUCCAAGAACACUUCUCAAUAACUCCACGACAUAUAUGAUAGAGGAUAUAUAGAAAAUUUGUCGUAUAAAUAUUCAGUAUUCUACUUGGUAUCUACUGAAGUAUUUGGUAGAAUAUAGGCGAAAUCUUUCUAAUUUAAAACUAAAGAGAAAUCUGGUUUAACUAUUCAACAAAUAUUCUCGCAGUAUAUGUUCAUAACACCAUAUAAUCAAUUUUUUAUAAAAACUAUUUAAAACAGAAUACUAAAUCUCAUAUCAAACAUAUUGCCGAAUCAACAUUAUUUAGAAUCUCUUUAGUACGGCGAGACUUUUAGCAUUAAUACUAUCUACACAAUAUCUUAACAAACAAUAAGUAAACAAAAUAUAUUUCAAAACAUUUGCUCUCAAAAUAGGCAAUCGGCCAGCUUUAAAUUAUGGCCUUAUAGUAUGAACUGAAUUACAAUACAAAACAGUUACAUAUUUUUUAGACAAACCAAAGAUUUCGUUAAAUAAAAAAAUCAACAAUUUAAGUCUUCAUAUUUUUGGGUUGGCGGAAAAAACACUAAUUUUAAAAUUUUAAAUAUAUAAGUUAUUUAAAAUUCAAAAAUUAAUCUCACUUUCAGAAAAUACAUGUUAUUAUUAUAACAAAUAUAAUAAUAAAUAAGUCAAUAUUUAUACACCUUUGUAUUUAUAUGUCGCCACACUGAAAAAAUUAAAUAUAUAAAGUAUGUACACAUUUUAAUUUUUAAUUAAAUCUUUUGACAAAAAAAAGUUAAUUCUAUAAUUAGAAAUGGGUGUCAAAAUCAAUCUUAUUAAGAUAGAAUCACAAAAUUGGAUCCAACUUGUGUCUAAAAUUAACUACAGCCUUAUACUAUUUAAAAUAAAUAGAUAAAUUUUAUUCUGAAAUUUGAAAAAUUCUUUUAAACUAUUUUAAAAUUUUUAUUUUGAAUUUUAAAUAUAUAUUUAUUUAUUUAUUAAAAUCUUAAACUCCACCCCGCUCUAAAACUUUACCACUUAAAUUUAAACAGUAAAUUUAUAUUAGUUAACCUUAAAUAUAUAAGUGUCUAUUUACCCAAUCUUCGAUUAUACCAUGUUCAUUGAAGCAACUAAUAAAUUAUACGAACUUUUGGGAUAUGAUCAAUACAAAGAAUUAGUAUAUAAAUCAUAUAUCCUUUUGGUCAUUGGGUUAUUGUGCUGAUCGCGGGUGAGCCAUUAGUCAAUAUUUUAUUUCAUUUUAAUAUAUAAAUACAUAUAUCAAUAUUAAAAUAUAAAAAUCAUGUUUAAAAAUAUAGUAAAAAUUUAAAGCAAUUUUCUUUAUAUUUUUAAAUUAUAAAUAGACCACUUAAACAAUUUUAUAACAAGUUGGAGUUAUGACAUAAUAAAAAUACAAUAAGAUUAAAACUAAUAAGUACUUAAAUAUCUAAUGUAAACAUUGUAAUUAACUUUUAAAAUUUAAAAAUAACAGUUUAAAUCAAAAUACUGUCAAAAAUUAAAUCAAAUUGGGUUACACAUCGGUCAUCCAUUGGUUCAACUUAUUAGCUUCGGGACCUAGCAUUUUUCAAAUUUUAUAGGGUUGUAAAAUAAUGAAUAUUUAUUAAAGCGGAAAAUUGGAUUAGAUAUGGAUUUACUGGUUCACAUUUGGGCCUGGAUUCACUUUAAAAGCGUUGAUUUUAAAUAGAAAAAAAAAUCUUACAAAUAUACAAAACAUUUAUAACGUUGUUAAUUUUUUUUUUAUUAUUAUUUUUAUUAUUAAAUAUCCCGCGCUUUCAAAGCGCGGGUCAAAAUCUAGUUAUUUACUUAAAAGUAGUGUUAGCAUAAAUUUAUUUCAUUAUUUAAAAAAAUAAUAGAUUAGUUAUUUAGCUCCUUAAUUUUAGGUUAGUGUAUGUAUUUAAUAAUAAUUAAGUAAGGUAUAAAAAGAAAUAAUAGGAAAACUAGUUAAAUGUAAUGGUCCAACCUAGACUAUUUGUAAAUAGAUAAGAAAAUAGGACCCUAUAUUAAUAGAUUAGAUAUUUCAACUUAACUCUAUUUCACUUUAUAAUAAAAUAAAAUAAAAGUAGAUUUGCUCAAUCAGUAAAAUAAUGUAUACUUUCCAAACUCCUGUUUCUUAAGUUCAAGUGAUGCAGCUUGGAACUUCCACGGCAGAAUGCUCAUGCUUUCAGUCAAAUUUCUUCAAACUUUUCUGUGUCCAAGGUGAUUGAUUUGUAUUUUUUUUUUUUUUUUGCAAUCGACGUGGGUGAAUCAAUCCAAAUGCUAGCUGGUAGAAAAAGAUUGGCAUGAGCGGAAAAUUUACUAAAAAAGAUUUUCUCAUGCAAGUGUUUAUCCAGUGCAACCUUUUGUUUGGCUGUCCUUUCUCAAUGAACCUUUCCCAUCCUGAUAUUAUAUUUUCUGUAUACAGCCACAAGAUAACAUCAGCCUACUUGGCAAGGAAUAACAUCAGUUCCAUCCUGAAUGAGUAUGUGGAUCUUUACUACUGAUGAGGGCCGAAUCAGGAGGUAGAGCAAACAGUGCACUCGCCGUGGAUCCAUUUAAGAUCAAGCAAUUUUAAUAGUAUAAAGUGCCUAUAUAUAUAUAUAUAUAUUUUUUUUUUUUGUUAACAACAAUGGUCUAAUUUCUUUUUACACUUUUACUUUCAUAUUUAUACAUAUUAUAAAGCAUAAUACUCUAAAAACAUUUGUUUAUAAAAUAAAAAAUUUAAUAAAUUUUAUAUAUGUUUUAAUAAUAUUUUAAUAACAAAAUUUAGAUUAAUUAAUAGUUUGGGUCUAAAAAAAUAUUAUUUUGCCAAGGGCCUUUUGUAUUGUUGAGCCGGCCCUCUUACUCUUACUGAUAUAUUUCCUCCAACUUCUUCUGUGAAAUCAAGAUUUACUGAACUCUUACUUAUCAUUGCUGCAGCAUGAAGGAGAUGCCUGGUAUCAUAAGCCGGAUGCCACCACUGCCUGUAUCAAUUAACAAUGAUCUUGCAAACAGGUUAAUGACGAGUACACGACAGAAUGUUUUUAUCUGUCUCUUAGCCGAGACCUUAUAUCAUUCCUUCGAGCAUCAACUGAAGUAGGAGCCAAGAAACCGAUGGACGAGGAAACACUUGAUUUUGACCAAUGCUAAAGGAAAUAAGCACAAGUAAAAAACGAAAAAUUGCAGUUCUUUGAUGUGACCACUGGACUGAAAGAAGAUGAGGUUAUCAACUGCGAAACACAAGAUUGAACAAAGUUGGUAUCUUGUGGGAUCCCUUUGUGCUGUCGGCUAAUUUUUCUGCGGAAAGGGUUAACCGCUGGCUAGCCAUUUCAUGUCUCAAAAACGAUUGUUUUUCCUGUGUGAAAAUGUUUAGGUUGUCAAUCCAAGAUAUGAUUCAUUGCACAGAUCCGUGGUAGAGUUGGUUGUAUAGAUAAGCUGUUUCUAAGGUUUUAGAUGAGAGUUAUUAAUAACACAUCUUUGUAAGGUUUGGUCUUCAAUCUU